AACAGGAUUAGAUACCCUGGUAGUCCACGCUGUAAACGAUGUCGACUUGGAGGUUGUUCCCUUGAGGAGUGGCUUCCGGAGCUAACGCGUUAAGUCGACCGCCUGGGGAGUACGGCCGCAAGGUUAAAACUCAAAUGAAUUGACGGGGGCCCGCACAAGCGGUGGAGCAUGUGGUUUAAUUCGAUGCAACGCGAAGAACCUUACCUACUCUUGACAUCCAGAGAACUUAGCAGAGAUGCUUUGGUGCCUUCGGGAACUCUGAGACAGGUGCUGCAUGGCUGUCGUCAGCUCGUGUUGUGAAAUGUUGGGUUAAGUCCCGCAACGAGCGCAACCCUUAUCCUUUGUUGCCAGCGGUCCGGCCGGGAACUCAAAGGAGACUGCCAGUGAUAAACUGGAGGAAGGUGGGGAUGACGUCAAGUCAUCAUGGCCCUUACGAGCAGGGCUACACACGUGCUACAAUGGCAUAUACAAAGAGAAGCGACCUCGCGAGAGCAAGCGGACCUCAUAAAGUAUGUCGUAGUCCGGAUUGGAGUCUGCAACUCGACUCCAUGAAGUCGGAAUCGCUAGUAAUCGUGGAUCAGAAUGCCACGGUGAAUACGUUCCCGGGCCUUGUACACACCGCCCGUCACACCAUGGGAGUGGGUUGCAAAAGAAGUAGGUAGCUUAACCUUCGGGAGGGCGCUUACCACUUUGUGAUUCAUGACUGGGGUGAAGUCGUAACAAGGUAACC
RNAcentral lists this ribosomal RNA (730 nucleotides) under uncultured bacterium. Its description in RNAcentral is "bacterial SSU rRNA". It matches the Rfam family "Bacterial small subunit ribosomal RNA", at positions 771 to 1501 of the family's 1533-position model. The record is from RNAcentral.